GCAAGUCGAGCGCUGAUUACGAGGUAGCAAUAUUUCGUGGUCGGAGCGGCGCAAGGGUGCGUAACACGUGGGUAAUCUGCCAUGAAGUUCGGGAUAACUUGCUGAAAGGCGAGCUAAUACCGGAUGUGACAGCCGAAAGACAUCUUUUGGUUGUUAAAGUUGGGGACCGUAAGGCCUGACGCUUCUUGAUGAACCCGCGGCCUAUCAGCUAGUUGGUGAGGUAACGGCUCACCAAGGCUAAGACGGGUAGCUGGUCUGAGAGGACGACCAGCCACACUGGAACUGAGACACGGUCCAGACACCUACGGGUGGCAGCAGUCGAGAAUUUUUCACAAUGGGCGCAAGCCUGAUGGAGCGACGCCGCGUGGGGGAUGAAUGGCUUCGGCCCGUAAACCCCUGUCAUUCGCGAUCAAACGUUAUUAUUUAAAAGAUGAUGACCUGAUAGUAGCGGAAGAGGAAGGGACGGCUAACUCUGUGCCAGCAGCCGCGGUAAUACAGAGGUCCCAAGCGUUGUUCGGAUUCACUGGGCGUAAAGGGUGCGUAGGUGGUGAGGUAAGUCGGAUGUGAAAGCUCGGAGCUCAACUCCGAAAUGGCAUUGGAAACUACCUUGCUCGAGGGUUGGAGGGGGGA
This 630-nucleotide ribosomal RNA is filed under the name uncultured Verrucomicrobiota bacterium. Its description in RNAcentral is "bacterial SSU rRNA". It matches the Rfam family "Bacterial small subunit ribosomal RNA", at positions 57 to 660 of the family's 1533-position model. The record is from RNAcentral. Lineage: Bacteria; Pseudomonadati; Verrucomicrobiota.